RNAcentral lists this ribosomal RNA (1333 nucleotides) under uncultured bacterium. Its description in RNAcentral is "bacterial SSU rRNA". It matches the Rfam family "Bacterial small subunit ribosomal RNA", at positions 28 to 1382 of the family's 1533-position model. The record is from RNAcentral.
GACGAACGCUGGCGGCGCGCCUGACACAUGCAAGUCGAACGAGCGAGAGAGAGCUUGCUUUCUCGAGCGAGUGGCGAACGGGUGAGUAACGCGUGAGGAACCUGCCUCAAAGAGGGGGACAACAGUUGGAAACGACUGCUAAUACCGCAUAAGCCCACGGCUCGGCAUCGAACAGGGGGAAAAGGAGCAAUCCGCUUUGAGAUGGUCUCGCGUCCGAUUAGCUAGUUGGUGAGGUAACGGCCCACCAAGGCGACGAUCGGUAGCCGGACUGAGAGGUUGAACGGCCACAUUGGGACUGAGACACGGCCCAGACUCCUACGGGAGGCAGCAGUGGGGAAUAUUGCACAAUGGGGGAAACCCUGAUGCAGCGACGCCGCGUGGAGGAAGAAGGUCUUCGGAUUGUAAACUCCUGUUGUUGGGGAAGAUAAUGACGGUACCCAACAAGGAAGUGACGGCUAACUACGUGCCAGCAGCCGCGGUAAAACGUAGGUCACAAGCGUUGUCCGGAAUUACUGGGUGUAAAGGGAGCGCAGGCGGGAAGACAAGUUGGAAGUGAAAUCUAUGGGCUCAACCCAUAAACUGCUUUCAAAACUGUUUUUCUUGAGUAGUGCAGAGGUAGGCGGAAUUCCCGGUGUAGCGGUGGAAUGCGUAGAUAUCGGGAGGAACACCAGUGGCGAAGGCGGCCUACUGGGCACCAACUGACGCUGAGGCUCGAAAGUGUGGGUAGCAAACAGGAUUAGAUACCCUGGUAGUCCACACCGUAAACGAUGAUUACUAGGUGUUGGAGGAUUGACCCCUUCAGUGCCGCAGUUAACACAAUAAGUAAUCCACCUGGGGAGUACGACCGCAAGGUUGAAACUCAAAGGAAUUGACGGGGGCCCGCACAAGCAGUGGAGUAUGUGGUUUAAUUCGACGCAACGCGAAGAACCUUACCAAGUCUUGACAUCCCUUGACAGGCAUAGAAAUAUGUUUUCUCUUCGGAGCAAGGAGACAGGUGGUGCAUGGUUGUCGUCAGCUCGUGUCGUGAGAUGUUGGGUUAAGUCCCGCAACGAGCGCAACCCUUAUGGUCAGUUACUACGCAAGAGGACUCUGGCCAGACUGCCGUUGACAAAACGGAGGAAGGUGGGGAUGACGUCAAAUCAUCAUGCCCUUUAUGACUUGGGCUACACACGUACUACAAUGGCGUUAAACAAAGAGAAGCAAGACCGCGAGGUGGAGCAAAACUCAGAAACAACGUCCCAGUUCGGACUGCAGGCUGCAACUCGCCUGCACGAAGUCGGAAUUGCUAGUAAUCGUGGAUCAGCAUGCCACGGUGAAUACGUUCCCGGGCCUU